This 253-nucleotide ribosomal RNA is filed under the name uncultured bacterium. Its description in RNAcentral is "partial 16S ribosomal RNA". It matches the Rfam family "Bacterial small subunit ribosomal RNA", at positions 524 to 776 of the family's 1533-position model. The record is from RNAcentral.
UACAGAGGGAGCGAGCGUUAAUCGGAAUUACUGGGCGUAAAGCGUGCGUAGACGGUUAUCUAAGUCGGAUGUGAAAUCCCCGGGCUCAACCUGGGAAUGGCAUUUGGGACUGCAAGGCUGGAGUUUGGCAGAGGAGACUGGAAUUCCCGGUGUAGCAGUGAAAUGCGUAGAUAUCGGGAGGAAUACCGAUGGCGAAGGCAGGUCUCUGGGCUAUAACUGACGCUCAUGCACGAAAGCGUGGGGAGCAAACAGG